CAUAUCAAUAAGCGGAGGAAAAGAAACCAACAGGGAUUGCCUUAGUAACGGCGAGUGAAGCGGCAACAGCUCAAAUUUGAAAUCUGGCCCUUGGGUCCGAAUUGUAAUUUGUAGAGGAUGAUUUUGGUGCGGUAUCUUCCGAGUUCCUUGGAACAGGACGCCUUAGAGGGUGAGAGCCCCGUACGGUUGAAUGCCUAGCCUCUGUAAAUCUCCUUCGACGAGUCGAGUAGUUUGGGAAUGCUGCUCUAAAUGGGAGGUAAAUUUCUUCUAAAGCUAAAUAUUGGCCAGAGACCGAUAGCGCACAAGUAGAGUGAUCGAAAGAUGAAAAGCACUUUGAAAAGAGGGUUAAAUAGCACGUGAAAUUGUUGAAAGGGAAGGAUUUGUGACCAGACUUUUUCUGGGCGGAUCAUCCGGGGUUCUCUCCGGUGCACUUCGCCCAGUAAAGGCCAGCAUCGGUUUUCGGCGUGGGAUAAAAGCAGUAGGAAUGUGGCUCUCUACGGGGAGUGUUAUAGCCUAUUGUAUAAUACCGCG
RNAcentral lists this ribosomal RNA (531 nucleotides) under Xylariales sp. RNAcentral describes it as "eukaryotic LSU rRNA". It matches the Rfam family "Eukaryotic large subunit ribosomal RNA", at positions 39 to 580 of the family's 3401-position model. Lineage: Eukaryota; Fungi; Ascomycota; Sordariomycetes; Xylariales. The record is from RNAcentral.